GUCCCUUCGGGGACAUAUUAUAUCAUGGAGAGUUUGAUCCUGGCUCAGAACGAACGCUGGCG
Molecule: ribosomal RNA, 62 nt
Filed under: Spirochaetaceae bacterium
Lineage: Bacteria; Pseudomonadati; Spirochaetota; Spirochaetia; Spirochaetales; Spirochaetaceae
Description: partial 16S ribosomal RNA
Source: RNAcentral